Molecule: unclassified non-coding RNA, 218 nt
Filed under: Borreliella burgdorferi (Lyme disease spirochete)
Lineage: Bacteria; Pseudomonadati; Spirochaetota; Spirochaetia; Spirochaetales; Borreliaceae
Description: partial 5S-23S ribosomal RNA intergenic spacer
Source: RNAcentral
ACGUUAUUUUAUACUUUAACUUUGAUUUUAUUUUUAUGUUUUUUAAAUAUUGGUGUUUUUGAAUGUGUUGUUUAAAUAACAUAAAAAAUAAAAUAUAUAUUGACAUGUAUUAAACAAAGAUAUAUAUUAUUUUAUGUUGUAUAAAUAAAUUGGCAAAAUAGAGAUGGAAGAUAAAAAUAUGGUCAAAGUAAUAAGAGUCUAUGGUGAAUGCCUAGGAA